Molecule: ribosomal RNA, 492 nt
Filed under: uncultured bacterium
Lineage: Bacteria
Description: partial 16S ribosomal RNA
Rfam family: Bacterial small subunit ribosomal RNA
Source: RNAcentral
AGUGAACGCUGGCGGUAGGCCUAACACAUGCAAGUCGAACGGCAGCACAGUAAGAGCUUGCUCUUACGGGUGGCGAGUGGCGGACGGGUGAGGAAUACAUCGGAAUCUACUUUUUCGUGGGGGAUAACGUAGGGAAACUUACGCUAAUACCGCAUACGACCUACGGGUGAAAGCAGGGGAUCUUCGGACCUUGCGCGAUUGAAUGCGCCGAUGUCGGAUUAGCUAGUUGGCGGGGUAAAGGCCCACCAAGGCGACGAUCCGUAGCUGGUCUGAGAGGAUGAUCAGCCACACUGGAACUGAGACACGGUCCAGACUCCUACGGGAGGCAGCAGUGGGGAAUAUUGGACAAUGGGCGCAAGCCUGAUCCAGCCAUACCGCGUGGGUGAAGAAGGCCUUCGGGUUGUAAAGCCCUUUUGUUGGGAAAGAAAAGCAGCAGGUUAAUACCCCGCUGUUCUGACGGUACCCAAAGAAGAAGCACCGGCUAACUUCGUG